This 254-nucleotide ribosomal RNA is filed under the name uncultured bacterium. RNAcentral's name for it is "partial 16S ribosomal RNA". It matches the Rfam family "Bacterial small subunit ribosomal RNA", at positions 524 to 776 of the family's 1533-position model. The record is from RNAcentral.
UACAGAGGGUGCGAGCGUUGUCCGGAAUCACUGGGCGUAAAGGGCGCGUAGGCGGGUCUUUUAAGUCAGGGGUGAAAUCCUGGAGCUCAACUCCAGAACUGCCUUUGAUACUGAGGAUCUUGAGUUCGGGAGAGGUGAGUGGAACUGCGAGUGUAGAGGUGAAAUUCGUAGAUAUUCGCAAGAACACCAGUGGCGAAGGCGGCUCACUGGCCCGAUACUGACGCUGAGGCACGAAAGCGUGGGGAGCGAACAGG